GGUUGAAGGCGGGGUAAUACCUACUGGAGGACCGAACAAGUGGGUGUUAAAAAACCCUUUGAUGAACUGUGGAUAGCGGUGAAAUUCCAAUCGAACUCGGAGAUAGCUGGUUCUAUCCGAAAUACAUUUAGGUGUAGCCUUGCAAUUAGCUUACUGGAGGUAGAGCACUAUUUGGUCUAGGGGCCCUUCAAGGGUUACCAAAAUCAGAUAAACUCCGAAUGCCAGCUAAGUAUGUGCAGGAGUCAGACGGUGAGUGAUAAGAUCCAUCGUCAAAAGGGGAACAGCCCAGAUCACCAGUUAAGGUCCCUAAAUAUAUGCUAAGUGGAAAACGUUGUGAAGGUGCAUAGACAACUAGGAGGUUGGCUCAGAAGCAGCCACCCUUUAAAGAGUGCGUAAUAGCUCACUAGUCGAGUGCUCUUGCGCGGAUAAUGUACCGGGGCUAAGCAUAUUACCGAAACUGUGGAUGCGUAAGCAUGGUAGGAUAGCGUAAUUAACGCGAUGAAGGAUGACCGUAAGGACAUGUUGGAGCGUUAACUAGUGAGAAUUCCGGUAUGAGUAGCGAAAGAUAGGUGAGAAUCCUAUCCACCGAAUGAGUAAGGUUUCCCCCGGAAGGCUCGUCCGCGGGGGGUUAGUCGGGACCUAAGGCGAGGCUGAAAAGCGUAGUCGAUGGACAACAGGUUGAUAUUCCUGUACCGAUAUUUAAUUGCCGAAGGAAGGACGCAGAAGGAUAACACAGGCCACUAUUGGAUGUGGUUUUAAACAGUUAGUCUUCAUAAGAGUCAAAUGCUUUUAUGUUUAAGGAUAAGCUGUGAAUGUACCAAGUUUACUUGGAAAUUGUGUGAUUUCACGCUGCUGAAAAAAGUUUCGUAGGAAGAAAAUAUUGCCCGUACCGCAAACCGACACAGGUACUCAAGUGGAGAACACUAAGGUGAGCGAGUGAACUAUUGUUAAGGAACUCUGCAAAAUGAGUCCGUAACUUCGGAAGAAGGACUGCUGGUUUUAUACCAGCCGCAGCAAAUAGGCCCAAACAACUGUUUAUCAAAAACACAGGUUUCUGCAAAAUCGUAAGAUGAAGUAUAGGGGCUGACGCCUGCCCAGUGCUGGAAGGUUAAAAGGAGGACUUAGCUUCGGCGAAGGUCUUAAUUGAAGCCCCAGUGAACGGCGGCCGUAACUAUAACGGUCCUAAGGUAGCGAAAUUCCUUGUCGGGUAAGUUCCGACCCGCAUGAAAGGCGUAAUGAUUUGGGCGCUGUCUCAACAAUAGACUCGGUGAAAUUUAAAUUCCAGUGAAGAUGCUGGGUACCCGCGACAGGACGGAAAGACCCCGUGGAGCUUUACUGUAGCUUGAUAUUGAAUGUUUGUGCUGCAUGUGCAGGAUAGGUAGGAGACUUUGAAGUCGGAACGCUAGUUUCGAUUGAGUCACCCUUGAGAUACUACCUCUGUUGUAUGAACGUUCUAACUCUGAUCAGUUAUCCUGAUCGAAGACAGUGUCUGGCAGGCAGUUUGACUGGGGCGGUCGCCUCCUAAAAGAUAACGGAGGCGCUCAAAGGUUUGCUCAGAAUGGUUGGAAAUCAUUCGUAGCGUGUAAAGGCAUAAGCAAGCUUGACUGUGAGACUGACAAGUCGAGCAGGUACGAAAGUAGGACUUAGUGAUCCGGUGGUUCCGUAUGGAAGGGCCAUCGCUCAACGGACAAAAGCUACCCCGGGGAUAACAGGCUCAUCUCCCCCAAGAGUCCACAUCGACGGGGAGGUUUGGCACCUCGAUGUCGGCUCAUCGCAUCCUGGGGCUGUAGUCGGUCCCAAGGGUUGGGCUGUUCGCCCAUUAAAGCGGUACGCGAGCUGGGUUCAGAACGUCGUGAGACAGUUCGGUCCCUAUCCGUCGUGGGCGCAGGAAAUUUGAGAGGAUCUGUCCUUAGUACGAGAGGACCGGGAUGGACAUACCUCUGGUGUACCAGUUGUUCUGCCAAGAGCACCGCUGGGUAGCUACGUAUGGAUUAGAUAAUCGCUGAAAGCAUCUAAGUGAGAAACUAACCUCGAGAUGAGAUUUCCCAUUCGUCAGAAG
RNAcentral lists this ribosomal RNA (2059 nucleotides) under Oenococcus oeni. RNAcentral's name for it is "bacterial LSU rRNA". It matches the Rfam family "Bacterial large subunit ribosomal RNA", at positions 743 to 2828 of the family's 2925-position model. Lineage: Bacteria; Bacillati; Bacillota; Bacilli; Lactobacillales; Lactobacillaceae. The record is from RNAcentral.